Molecule: ribosomal RNA, 506 nt
Filed under: uncultured bacterium
Lineage: Bacteria
Description: partial 16S ribosomal RNA
Rfam family: Bacterial small subunit ribosomal RNA
Source: RNAcentral
AGUGAACGCUGGCGGUAGGCCUCACACAUGCAAGUCGAACGGCAGCACAGGAGAGCUUGCUCUCUGGGUGGCGAGCGGCGGACGGGUGAGGAAUACAUCGGAAUCUACUCUGUCGUGGGGGAUAACGUAGGGAAACUUACGCUAAUACCGCAUACGACCUACGGGUCAAAGCAGGGGAUCUUCGGACCUUGCGCGAUUGAAUGAGCCGAUGUCGGAUUAGCUAGUUGGCGGGGGAAAGGACCACCAAGGCGACGAUCCGUAGCUGGUCUGAGAGGAUGAUCAGCCACAGUGUAACGGAGACACGGUCCAAAAUCCUACGGGAGGCAGCAGUGGGGAAUAUUGGACAAUGGGGGCAAGCCUGAUCCAGCCAUACCGCGUGGGUGAAGAAGGCCUUCGGGUUGUAAAGCCCUUUUGUUGGGAAAGAAAUCCAGCUGGCUAAUACCCGGUUGGGAUGACGGUACCCAAAGAAUAAGCACCGGCUAACUUCGUGCCAGCAGCCGCCGUAA